Molecule: ribosomal RNA, 463 nt
Filed under: uncultured bacterium
Lineage: Bacteria
Description: partial 16S ribosomal RNA
Rfam family: Bacterial small subunit ribosomal RNA
Source: RNAcentral
GACGAACGCUGGCGGCGUGCCUAACACAUGCAAGUCGAGCGAAUGAAGUUCCUUCGGGAAUGGAUUUAGCGGCGGACGGGUGAGUACCAGCUGGGCACCCGCCCCCUGGCGGGGGAUUAGCUUCCUGCAAGGGAGCUGAUACCGGCCAAGGUUUGAACUACCCCUGAAAAAUGAAAUCAAAGAGCAAACCGCUACGAGAUGGGCCCCCGGCGCCUUUGCCUAGUGGUGGGGUAACGGCCCAACAAGGCGACGGUGCGUAGCCGACCUGAGAGGGGGAUCGGCCACAUUGGGACUGAGACACGGCCCAGACUCCUACGGGAGGCAGCAGUGGGGACUAUUGCACAAUGGGGGAAACCCUGAUGCAGCAACGCCGCGUGAGUGAUGACGGCCUUCGGGUUGUAAAGCUCUGUCUUCAGGGACGAUAAUGACGGUACCUGAGGAGGAAGCCACGGCUCACUACGUG